This 497-nucleotide ribosomal RNA is filed under the name uncultured bacterium. Its description in RNAcentral is "partial 16S ribosomal RNA". It matches the Rfam family "Bacterial small subunit ribosomal RNA", at positions 28 to 507 of the family's 1533-position model. The record is from RNAcentral.
GAUGAACGCUGGCGGCGUGCCUAAUACAUGCAAGUCGAGCGAACAGAUGAGGAGCUUGCUCCUCUGACGUUAGCGGCGGACGGGUGAGUAACACGUGGAUAACCUACCUAUAAGACUGGGAUAACUUCGGGAAACCUGAUCUAAUACCGGAUAAUAUAUUGAACCGCAUGGUUCAAUAGUGAAAGACGGUUUUGCUGUCACUUAUAGAUGGAUCCACGCCGCAUUAGCUAGUUGGUAAGGUAACGGCUUACCAAGGCAACGAUGCGUAGCCGACCUGAGAGGGUGAUCGGCCACACUGGAACUGAGACACGGUCCAGACUCCUACGGGAGGCAGCAGUAGGGAAUCUUCCGCAAUGGGCGAAAGCCUGACGGAGCAACGCCGCGUGAGUGAUGAAGGUCUUCGGAUCGUAAAACUCUGUUAUUAGGGAAGAACAAAUGUGUAAGUAACUAUGCACGUCUUGACGGUACCUAAUCAGAAAGCCACGGCUAACUACGUG